GGGGUUUUCUCUUUGUUUAAAUCCCUCCUCCCUCUGUCUCUACAAGGGAGCUGUUUUCUUCUUCCUUCUUUCUUGCUUAUUAAACUCUCCUCUCCUUAAAACCACUCCACGUAUGUCCAAGUCGUUUUAUCUAAUUCGGUGCAAGAUUAAGGACACUAGUGUUCUUCCAGUCAUCAUAGCCAUAUCAAUACUUGGUGUCAGAAGGAAGGACCAAAGGUGAUUCACCUUAAGGAGACUCACCAGGCCUUGGAACUACAGCAUGAGGUACCCACACUGGGGCUCUUUAGGGCCGCCGACCCUGACUUCCACGGGUCACUUCUUCUCCGGCUUGGAGAGUCUGUCUUAGAACUCCCAAUUUUGAUUUGUUUUCUGUUUUAUUUGGGAUUUGGUGAGGAAAGAUCUUUUCCUCCUUGUUUGAAUCUCUUGUUGAAGAGGACUCUUUUCCUCUGUUGACCUUGUCUAUGAAGUUUGAACCUAGAGGUUUGAAUGAGGAAAUUUUUUUCUUCAUUUGGAGAAGGCCAUUGUUUUUCUUGAGGCUGAGAAGGGGCCAGCAUCUAGUGAGGUUCUUCUUGCUGUACUAUCAAAUGGAAGGAGUUGUGCCUGGAACCUCAGCGAGGCAGAAUCAUUCACUCCCCUGGAAAGGGGGCUAAAGCCAGGGAGCCAAGUGGUCUCGCUCAGCAGGUCCCACUUUCCUGGAGCCCAGCGAGCAAACAACAACUGGCUUGAAAUUCUCACUGCCAGCGCAGCAGUCUGAAGUGGACGUGAGACAAUCAAGCUUGGUGGGUGGGAGGGGCAUCUGCCAUUACUGAGGCUUGAGUAGGCGAUUUUUCCCCUGACAGUGCUAAGGAGGCCAGGAAGUUCAAACUUGGCAGAAUUCACCACAGUGCAGCAAAGUAUCUGUGGCCAGUCUGCCUCUCUAGAUUCUUCUCACUGGGCAAGGCAUCUCUGAAAAAAAGGCAGCAGCCCCAGUCAGGGGCUUAUAGAUAAAACUCCCAUCUCCCUGGGUCAGAGAACCUGGGGGAAGGGGCAGCUGUGGGUGCAACUUGAGCAGACUUAAACAUUCCUGCCUGCCGGUUCUGAAGAGAGGAGCAGAUCUCCCAGCACAGUGUUCGAGCUCUGCUAAGGGACAAACUGCCUCCUCAAGUGGGUCCCUGACCCCCAUAUGCCUCCUGACUGGGAGACAGCUCUUAGCAGGGGUUGACAGACACCUCAUAGAGGAGAGCUCUGGCUGGCAUCAGGCCAGUGCCCCUCUGGGACAAAGCUUCCUGAAAAAGGAGCAGGUGGCAGUCUUUGCUCUUCUGCAGCCUACAUGGGUGAUAUCCAAGCAAACAGGGUCUGGAGUGGACCUCAACUACAGCAGGCCUGCAGAAGAGGAGCCUGACUGUUAGAAGAAAAACUAACAAACAGAAAGCAAUAACAUCAACAUCAACAAGAAGGACCCCCACAUGAAAACCCCAUCCAAAGGUCAUCAGCCUCAAAGAUCAAAGGUAGAUAAAUCCAUGAAGAUGAGAAAAAAAACAAUGCAAAAAUGCUGAAAAUUCCAAAAACCAGAAUGCCUCGUCUCCAAAUGAUCACAACUGGUCUCUAGCAAACCUAGAUGACGGAUUGAUAGGUGCAGCAAACCACCAUGGCAUAUGUAUACCUAUGUAACAAACCUGCACAUUCUACACAUUUAUCCCAGAACUUAAAAGUAAAAAUAUAAUAAAUAAGAUUAAAUUAAAUUUAAAAAGAUACUUCCAUAUGCAUGUUUAUAGCAGCACAAUUCACAAUUGCAAAAAUGUGGAACCAACCCAAGUGCCCAUCAAUCAACGAGUGGAUAAAGAACCUGUGGUAUUAUAUGUAUAUGAUGGAAUACCACUCACUCACAGAAGGGAAUGAAUUAACGGCAUUUGCAGUGACCUGGAUGAGAUUGGAGACAAUUAUUCUAAAUGAAGUAGCUCAGGAAUGGAAAACCAAGCAUCAUAUGUUCUCACGCAUUAGUAGGAGCUAAGCUAUGAGGAUGCAAAGGCAUAGGAAUGGCACAAUGGACUUUGGGGACUCAGGGGAAAAGGGUGGGAAGUGGGUAAGGGAUAAAAGACUACAAAUAGGAUGCAGUCUAUACUGCUCGGUGAUGAGUGCACCAAAAUCUCACCAAAUCACCACUAAAGAACUACCCAUGUAACCAAACACCACCUGUUCCCCAAUAACCUAUGGAAAUUAAAAAAAAAAAAAAAAAGUUUAAUUUCAUUUACUGCC
This 2235-nucleotide long non-coding RNA is filed under the name Homo sapiens (human). Its description in RNAcentral is "long independently transcribed non-coding RNA 2598, transcript variant 2 (LINC02598)". The record is from RNAcentral. Lineage: Eukaryota; Metazoa; Chordata; Mammalia; Primates; Hominidae.